CGAUGACCACAGCAGCCAUCGCAGAAGCAUUCGUGUUAUGGCCGUGUCAGAUUCUAAUGAACCUGAAAAUUCUGCU
RNAcentral lists this ribozyme (76 nucleotides) under Crocodylus porosus (Australian saltwater crocodile). Its description in RNAcentral is "Mammalian CPEB3 ribozyme (ENSCPRG00005007449.1)". It matches the Rfam family "Mammalian CPEB3 ribozyme". Rfam says of the family: The mammalian CPEB3 ribozyme is a self cleaving RNA located in the second intron of the CPEB3 gene which belongs to a family of genes regulating messenger RNA polyadenylation. This ribozyme is highly conserved and found only in mammals. There is currently only one other known self cleaving ribozyme in mammals, the CoTC motif. The record is from Rfam by way of RNAcentral. Lineage: Eukaryota; Metazoa; Chordata; Crocodylia; Crocodylidae.